This 1059-nucleotide long non-coding RNA is filed under the name Homo sapiens (human). RNAcentral's name for it is "non-protein coding lnc-PLAC1-3:2". Lineage: Eukaryota; Metazoa; Chordata; Mammalia; Primates; Hominidae. The record is from RNAcentral.
GGACGCGGAAGAACUGGCCCAGCGGAGGUUCCCGCUUCUGAAGCGUGGGAGGCGGAAGAGACUGCAGCCCCCGCCCCCGUCCCCAAGCCUCCGCCCCUUAGCCCCCGCCCCCAGCUGCCAGUCCCCAGCAGCUCAGUCCUGCAGUGAGAGUCUUGGGAGUCCAUAGCUAAGCACCAGGAGCUGAGCACUGCCCGCUGUGCCUGCCUGCAAGUCUGACAUGGCUCAGGAGAAAAUGGAGCUGGACCUUGAGCCUGACACAUCUUAUGGGGGAACCCUGAGGAGAUCCAGCAGCGCUCCCCUAAUCCAUGGGCUCAGUGACCUUUCACAGGUUUUCCAACCUUACACACUUAGAACUCGGAGGAAUAGUACAACAAUUAUGAGCCGUCACAGCCUGUUGCUGUCAUCCUCACCUAAUCGUAUUCCUAGUAGCAGACUGCAUCAGAUCAAAAGGGAAGAAGGCCUGGAUAUGGUGAACAGAGAAACUGCACAUGAAAGGGAAAUGCAAACGGCAAUGCAGAUAAGCCAAUCAUGGGAUGAGAGCUUGAGCCUGAGUGACAGUGAUUUUGACAAGCCGGAGAAAUUAUAUUCUCCUAAGAGAAUUGACUUCACUCCAGUUUCUCCAGCACCUUCACCCACCAGGGGAUUCGGAAAGAUGUUCGUGAGCAGCAGUGGAUUGCCACCAAGUCCAGUUCCCAGUCCAAGACGAUUUUCAAGCAGGAGAAGUCAGAGUCCAGUCAAGUGCAUUAGACCCAGUGUUCUUGGUCCUCUUAAAAGAAAAGGUGAAAUGGAGACAGAAAGUCAGCCCAAGAGACUCUUCCAAGGCACUACCAAUAUGUUAUCUCCAGAUGCCGCGCAACUGUCUGAUCUCAGUUCAUGUUCAGAUAUUUUGGAUGGCAGUAGUAGCAGCAGUGGCUUAUCCUCAGACCCGCUGGCUAAAGGCAGCGCUACCGCAGAGUCUCCAGUAGCAUGCUCCAAUUCAUGCUCUUCGUUCAUCUUGAUGGAUGAUCUCUCACCCAAGUGACUUAACCAUUUCUGAUUCAACGUUUUAACUGCUGUUUC